CCCUGAUGCAGCCAUGCCGCGUGUGUGAAGAAGGCCUUCGGGUUGUAAAGCACUUUCAGUAGGGAGGAAGGUAGUGUAGUUAACACCUGCACUAUUUGACGUUACCUACAGAAGAAGCACCGGCUAACUCCGUGCCAGCAGCCGCGGUAAUACGGAGGGUGCGAGCGUUAAUCGGAAUUACUGGGCGUAAAGCGCAUGCAGGCGGCCUGUUAAGUCAGAUGUGAAAGCCCGGGGCUUAACCUCGGAAUUGCAUUUGAAACUGGCAGGCUAGAGUCUUGUAGAGGGGGGUAGGAAUUUCAGGUGUAGCGGUGAAAUGCGUAGAGAUCUGAAGGAAUACCAGUGGCGAAGGCGGCCCCCUGGACAAAGACUGACGCUCAGAUGCGAAAGCGUGGGGAGCAAACAGGUUUAGAUACCCCUGGUAG
Molecule: ribosomal RNA, 422 nt
Filed under: uncultured bacterium
Lineage: Bacteria
Description: bacterial SSU rRNA
Rfam family: Bacterial small subunit ribosomal RNA
Source: RNAcentral